GAUGAACGCUAGCUACAGGCUUAACACAUGCAAGUCGAGGGGCAGCAUGAACUUAGCUUGCUAAGUUUGAUGGCGACCGGCGCACGGGUGAGUAACACGUAUCCAACCUGCCGAUGACUCGGGGAUAGCCUUUCGAAAGAAAGAUUAAUACCCGAUGGCAUAGUUCUUCCGCAUGGUAGGACUAUUAAAGAAUUUCGGUCAUCGAUGGGGAUGCGUUCCAUUAGCUUGUUGGCGGGGUAACGGCCCACCAAGGCGACGAUGCGUAGGGGUUCUGAGAGGAAGGUCCCCCACACUGGUACUGAGACACGGACCAG
This 314-nucleotide ribosomal RNA is filed under the name uncultured bacterium. RNAcentral describes it as "bacterial SSU rRNA". It matches the Rfam family "Bacterial small subunit ribosomal RNA", at positions 28 to 334 of the family's 1533-position model. The record is from RNAcentral.